Molecule: ribosomal RNA, 257 nt
Filed under: uncultured Leptotrichia sp.
Lineage: Bacteria; Fusobacteriati; Fusobacteriota; Fusobacteriia; Fusobacteriales; Leptotrichiaceae
Description: partial 16S ribosomal RNA
Rfam family: Bacterial small subunit ribosomal RNA
Source: RNAcentral
GGCGGACGGGUGAGUAACGCGUAAGAACUUGCCCUUUAGACUGGGAUAACAGAGGGAAACUUCUGAUAAUACUGGAUAAGUUAGUAUAUCGCAUGAUAUGCAAAUGAAAGCUACGGCACUAAAGGAGAGCUUUGCGUCCUAUUAGCUAGUUGGUAAGGUAGGAGCUUACCAAGGCGAUGAUAGGUAGCCGGCCUGAGAGGGUGGACGGCCACAAGGGGACUGAGAUACGGCCCUUACUCCUACGGGAGGCAGCAGCC